GAGCCAUGAAGAGAUAUUUGCGCUCCUUGUGAAGAUUGGGUUCCUCACGAACUUCCGAUUCCGGAAGAAAACUGCGCAUCCGAGCUC
Small nucleolar RNA from Cornus florida, 87 nucleotides. RefSeq annotates it as small nucleolar RNA snoR114. The transcript has a single exon. The record is from RefSeq and is a predicted model, not a curated record. NCBI's taxonomy places the organism in Eukaryota, Viridiplantae, Streptophyta, Magnoliopsida, Cornales, Cornaceae.